GGAAUAUUGGGCAAUGGGCGAAAGCCUGACCCAGCAACGCCGCGUGAGUGAAGAAGGCCUUCGGGUUGUAAAGCUCUGUUAUAGUUGACGAAGGAAGUGACGGUAGGCUAUAAGGAAGCCACGGCUAACUACGUGCCAGCAGCCGCGGUAAUACGUAGGGGGCGAGCGUUGUCCGGAAUGACUGGGCGUAAAGGGCGUGUAGGCGGCUGAAUAAGUCUGGAGUGAAAGUCCUGCUUUUAAGGUGGGAAUUGCUUUGGAUACUGUUCAGCUUGAGUGCGGAAGAGGUAAGUGGAAUUCCCAGUGUAGCGGUGAAAUGCGUAGAGAUUGGGAGGAACACCAGUGGCGAAGGCGACUUACUGGGCCGUAACUGACGCUGAGGCGCGAAAGCGUGGGGAGCGAACA
This 402-nucleotide ribosomal RNA is filed under the name uncultured bacterium. RNAcentral describes it as "bacterial SSU rRNA". It matches the Rfam family "Bacterial small subunit ribosomal RNA", at positions 358 to 774 of the family's 1533-position model. The record is from RNAcentral.